RNAcentral lists this ribosomal RNA (253 nucleotides) under uncultured bacterium. RNAcentral describes it as "partial 16S ribosomal RNA". It matches the Rfam family "Bacterial small subunit ribosomal RNA", at positions 524 to 776 of the family's 1533-position model. The record is from RNAcentral.
GACGGAAGGUGCAAGCGUUGCUCGGAAUCACUGGGCGUAAAGGGUGCGUAGGCGGCUUGGUAAGUUGGGUGUGAAAUUUCGGAGCUUAACUCCGAAACUGCAUUCGAUACUGGCGUGCUUGAGGACUGGAGAGGAGACUGGAAUUCAUGGUGUAGCAGUGAAAUGCGUAGAGAUCAUGAGGAAGACCAGUGGCGAAGGCGGGUCUCUGGACAGUUCCUGACACUGAGGCACGAAGGUCAGGGGAGCAAACGGG